Molecule: long non-coding RNA, 717 nt
Filed under: Felis catus (domestic cat)
Lineage: Eukaryota; Metazoa; Chordata; Mammalia; Carnivora; Felidae
Description: lncRNA (ENSFCAG00000052889.1)
Source: RNAcentral
GUUUUCAAAGGGCGCUAGGGGUCGCAGGAAAUCAGUGAAAAAGUGCAGGGGCACCAACACUGGAUACACACUGAUAUCACAGGUCGGGGCUGGCCCCUCUCCCAGGCUUUCACCCCGGAAGCGUCGGCCAGUGUGCAUCUGUGCCAGCCAGAAAAAGGUUGCCGAACGCUGCUCUCAAUCAUACACGAAACAACCUACCUUCCAAUUAAAUCAAAGUCUCCCAGAGGGCACAGACUGCCUUAUUCAUCCUUGCUAUCCCCUCGGCCUCCAACCUGGGAGAUUUCGUUAUUGAUGCAGUGGACCUUAAAAUGCUUGCUCAAUUAAAUGGAUUUAACCUGUAUUGAAGCAAUCCUAGACCUCCUUCUAAAAAUGUAAAAAUUGAGGCGAAAAUCACAUUUGCCGCAACCUUCAUUAGGUGAGACAAAUCCUGGAGGUCAAGAUCGAUUGCUCUAACAGCAGAACAAGGACAAGCCUAAACUGAAGCAGAUGCUACAUGUGCAGCAAUCUCUUUUUAAGAUGUGUUCUUCGCCUAAUACUGCGGCAAGCAAGGGAACAUCAUCUUACACAAGAGGCGGUAAAACAAGAAAGAAAACCGAGGAAGGCACUGAGUCUAACUAUUACUGCCAGGAAGUCUCCUUACAAAUGACAGAAGAUUAUUUCGGCGACAAGAUAAAGUGUGUUCAAGGAGCGAGCCCUCUGAAGAGCAGCAGGCUGUAA